AGAGUUUGAUCAUGGCUCAGAAUGAACGCUAGCGGCAGGCCUAAUACAUGCAAGUCGAACGGUAAGUCCCGCCUCGGCGGGAACACGAGUGGCGCACGGGUGCGUAACGCGUAUGCAACCUACCUUUAACUGGGGAAUAGCCCCGAGAAAUCGGGAUUAAUACCCCAUAAUAAUAAAAUAUGACAUCAUUUUUUAUUUAAAGUUCCGGCGGUUAAAGAUGGGCAUGCGUGACAUUAGUUAGUUGGUGAGGUAACGGCUCACCAAGGCAACGAUGUCUAGGGGUUCUGAGAGGAUUAACCCCCACACUGGUACUGAGACACGGACCAGACUCCUACGGGAGGCAGC
RNAcentral lists this ribosomal RNA (345 nucleotides) under uncultured bacterium. RNAcentral describes it as "bacterial SSU rRNA". It matches the Rfam family "Bacterial small subunit ribosomal RNA", at positions 8 to 352 of the family's 1533-position model. The record is from RNAcentral.